CCGUGCUAAGUGGGGAAUUAGCGGUGCCCUGUACUUGCAAUCCGCUCUAGCAAGACUGAACUCCACUUUCGAGGAAUCAAAUGUGAGGUCUGCCUCACGUACGUCGAUGUUGAGAUCUCGGUCCUAUGCAAUAGAACGUCAUGAACCAUGUCAGGUCCGGAAGGAAGCAGCAUUAAGUGACCCAUUCUAUGUGCCGUAGGGUAGCCGAGGUUGAGUCGAAUGCGUGAGUAACGCUUGUGUUUGAUAUUCGACAAAGUGGUGCACGG
RNAcentral lists this signal recognition particle RNA (266 nucleotides) under Candidatus Nosocomiicoccus stercorigallinarum. RNAcentral's name for it is "signal recognition particle sRNA large type". It matches the Rfam family "Bacterial large signal recognition particle RNA". From Rfam's summary of the family: The signal recognition particle (SRP) is a universally conserved ribonucleoprotein involved in the co-translational targeting of proteins to membranes. Archaeal SRP consists of a 7S RNA and homologues of the eukaryotic SRP19 and SRP54 proteins. In most bacteria, the SRP consists of a 4.5S RNA and the Ffh protein (a homologue of the eukaryotic SRP54 protein). The record is from RNAcentral. Lineage: Bacteria; Bacillati; Bacillota; Bacilli; Caryophanales; Staphylococcaceae.